This 1484-nucleotide ribosomal RNA is filed under the name uncultured Bordetella sp. RNAcentral describes it as "partial 16S-23S ribosomal RNA intergenic spacer". It matches the Rfam family "Bacterial small subunit ribosomal RNA". Lineage: Bacteria; Pseudomonadati; Pseudomonadota; Betaproteobacteria; Burkholderiales; Alcaligenaceae. The record is from RNAcentral.
GGUUUGAUUAUGGCUCAGAUUAGACACUAGCAGGAUGCUUUACAUGCAGUCGAACUGGCAGCACGGACUUCGGUCUGGUGGCGAGUGGCGAACGGGUGAGUGAUAUCCGGAACGUGCCUAGUAGCGGGGAAUAACUACGCGAAAGCGUAGCUCUUCCGCAUACGCCCUUCGAGGGGAAAGCAGGGGACCUUCCCGGGCAUCGCACUAUUAGAGCAGCCGAUAUCGGAUUAGCUUAGUUGGUCGGUAACAGCUCGCAAGGCGACGAUCCGUAGCUGGUUUGAGAGGACGACCAGCCACACUGGGACUAGAGACACGGCAGACUCCUGCAGGAGGCAGCAGUGGGGAAUUUUUGGACAAUAAACCACGAUCCAACCAUCCCGCGUGUGCGAUGAAGGCCUUCGGGUUCUCAAAGCACUUUGGCGGGAAAGAAACGGCACGGGAUAAUACCCCGAUGCAACUGACGGUACCUGCAGAAUAAAAGCACCAGCUAACUACGUGCCAGCAGCCGCGGUAGCGUAGGGUGCAAGCGUUAAUCGGAAUGCUGGGCGUAAAGCGUGCGCGAGCAGUUCGGAAGGAAGAUGCGCGAAAUCGAGCACCAACCUACGACCUGCAUUUAACUACUGGAGCUGAAGGUUGAUCGGAAGUGGAAUUCCGCGUGUAGCAGUGAAAUGCGUGAAUAUGCGGAGGAACACCGCCGAUGGCGGCGCCUGGGGAUAACUUACUGACGCUCAUGCACGAAAAGCGUGGGGAGCAAACAGGAUUAGGUACCCUGGUGGUCCACGCCCUAAACAAUGUCAACUAGCUGUUGGGGCCUUCGGGCCUUGAGGGCAGCGCAACUAACGCGUGAAAGUUGACCACCUGGGGAAGUACGGUCGCAAGAUUAAAACUCAAGGAAUUGACGGGGACCCGCACAAGCGGUGGAUGAUGUGGAUUAAUUCGAUGCAACGCGAAAAACCUUACCUACCCUUGAUAUGUCUGGAGAUCCCGAAAGAGAUUUGGGAAGGUGCUCGCAAAAGAACCGGAACACGGGUGCUGCAUAGCUGUCGUCAGCUCGUGUCGUGGAUGUUGGGUUAAGUCCGCAACGAGCACACAGCCCUUGUCGUGGAUUGCUACGAAAGGGCACUCUAAUGAGACUGCCAGUGACAAACCGGAGGAAGGUGGGGAUGACAUCAAGUCCUCAUAGCCUAUGGGUAGGGCUUUCCCUUACGUCAUACAAUGGUCGGGACAGAGGGUCACUCAACAGAGGAGCCAAUCCCAGAAACCCGAUCGUAGUCCGGAUCGCAGUCUGCAACUCGACUGCGUGAAGUCAAGGUCGCGUAAUCAUGAAUCAGCAUGUCGCGAGUGAAUACGUUCCCGGGUCUUGUACCACACCGCCCAUCACCAUGGGGAGUGGGUUUUACCAGAAGUAGAUAGCCUAACCAGUAAGGAGGGCGAUUACCACGGUAGGAUUCAUGACUGGGGGUAAGUCGUAACAAAGGUAAUGA